AUCGCUUCUCGGUCUUUUGGCUAAGAUCGAGUGUAGUAUCUGUUCCUAUAGUUUAGUGUCUGAUACGUCCUCUAUCUGAGGACAGUACAUUAAAUGGAUUUUUGGAAGCAGAAGGUGGAACAGGAGCUUGCUCCGUCCACUCCACGCAUCGACCUGGUAUAGCAGUACCUCCAGGAAUGGUGCACCAAAA
This 190-nucleotide small nuclear RNA is filed under the name Castor canadensis (American beaver). RNAcentral's name for it is "U2 spliceosomal RNA (ENSCCNG00000020073.1)". It matches the Rfam family "U2 spliceosomal RNA". Rfam says of the family: U2 is a small nuclear RNA (snRNA) component of the spliceosome (involved in pre-mRNA splicing). Complementary binding between U2 snRNA (in an area lying towards the 5' end but 3' to hairpin I) and the branchpoint sequence (BPS) of the intron results the bulging out of an unpaired adenosine, on the BPS, which initiates a nucleophilic attack at the intronic 5' splice site, thus starting the first of two transesterification reactions that mediate splicing. The record is from Rfam by way of RNAcentral. Lineage: Eukaryota; Metazoa; Chordata; Mammalia; Rodentia; Castoridae.